GAGGAAUAUUGGUCAAUGGGCGCAGGCCUGAACCAGCCAAGCAGCGUGAAGGAUGACUGCCCUAUGGGUUGUAAACUUCUUUUAUAUGGGAAUAAAGUUUUCCACGCGUGGAAUUUUGUAUGUACCAUAUGAAUAAGGAUCGGCUAACUCCGUGCCAGCAGCCGCGGUAAUACGGAGGAUCCGAGCGUUAUCCGGAUUUAUUGGGUUUAAAGGGAGCGUAGGUGGACAGUUAAGUCAGUUGUGAAAGUUUGCGGCUCAACCGUAAAAUUGUAGUUGAUACUGGCUGUCUUGAGUACAGUAGAGGUGGGCGGAAUUCGUGGUGUAGCGGUGAAAUGCUUAGAUAUCACGAAGAACUCCGAUUGCGAAGGCAGCUCACUGGACUGCAACUGACAUUGAUGCUCGAAAGUGUGGGUAUCAAAC
Molecule: ribosomal RNA, 420 nt
Filed under: uncultured bacterium
Lineage: Bacteria
Description: bacterial SSU rRNA
Rfam family: Bacterial small subunit ribosomal RNA
Source: RNAcentral